UAUCACAGUCCAAGCUUUGGU
Molecule: microRNA, 21 nt
Filed under: Schistosoma japonicum
Lineage: Eukaryota; Metazoa; Platyhelminthes; Trematoda; Strigeidida; Schistosomatidae
Also listed under: 1 other name
Description: sja-miR-2e-3p
Gene: sja-miR-2e-3p
Source: miRBase by way of RNAcentral